Molecule: transfer RNA, 55 nt
Filed under: Sinentomon erythranum
Lineage: Eukaryota; Metazoa; Arthropoda; Protura; Sinentomata; Sinentomidae
Description: tRNA-Asp
Source: RNAcentral
AAGAAAAUAGUUAAAUUUUAUAAUAUUAAUAUGUCGUGUUAAAGUUUUUUUCUUU